This is a long non-coding RNA of Vulpes vulpes (red fox), 2246 nucleotides long. NCBI's taxonomy places the organism in Eukaryota, Metazoa, Chordata, Mammalia, Carnivora, Canidae. The record is from Ensembl.
UGACUUUUUAGCUUUUAAUUACUUUUAGUGUCGUAUUUAAAUGAUUUUCCUGCCUUUUAACAGGCUGUUCUGCUCCUGAAAUAAAUGGGGGAUGUGGGUGGGGAAUUAAUUGUAAAGAAAAUAGAAUUAUGUGGGUACGUGGCUGGUGACAGGUAAAGGGCAGAUUUAUCGAGGUUGAAUCCUAGCUUUUCUGCCUCCGAGCCCAGUAACCUCCAAGACGCUAAGCCUACCCGGAAAAUGGGGUUAAUAGCGGUACCUACCUCACAGGGCUGCUGCCAUAACUCACGUGAGGUUCCCAGCACAUUAUUGGGCAUCUGAUGAAUGCUCAGUUAGUAGUUUUAAUAUUAUUAACAACACUGUUUUAUUAUUUAUAAGAAAAAUGAGUCUACUAGAAAAAUCAAUCUCCUCAUUUCAUGGCUUUCCUCUGUUUUUGACUCAAACUGUUACUUUCUUGGUUGCGCAUCAGAACCAGUGCGCUAGGGGACCCCUGGUGGCUCAGGGCGUGACCCCGGGGUCCUGGGAUUGAGUCCCGCGUCGGGCUCCCCGCAGGGAGCCUGCUUCUCCCUCUGCCUCUGUGUCUCUCAUGGAUAAAUAAAAUCUUAAAAAAAAAGAAAAGAACGAGUGGGUUAGUUUUUAAAUGACUCUUUGCUGUUUUCACAAAUUCAGAAAUGCAUACAAGUCUGCAAAACUUGUGCCUACGCUAGGAAUGUUCUGUUGAGCGUGAGGCCGGCCCCUCCCAGUUCCUCUGCCAUUGGGAGCUCGGCUCCGUGGGUGCCGGGUCCCCCCAAGGGUCUUCCGAGAGGGGGUAACAGGGUUUUGAAAAUGCGAGGUGGUGUUCGUUAAAGCAAGCUCCAGCCUAUGAGGGCUGCGAUGGGGACCGUGGCCCCUUCCCCGCCGCAGGAUGUCCUGUGCGCUGCGACCGCGAGCGUCCUGGGUGGGGCGAGGGGGCCCGAGGCCGGGCUGCGGGCGCGCGGGUUCCCCGACGGCCCCGGGGUUCUUGUGGGCAAAGUCGGGCCGGGCGCGGGUCGGAGGGGACCAGGCCGCUGCCCUGCAGGUGGAGGCCCCGCCGCCAGCGCCCCCCCGACUCGGCCGCAGGAUCGUUCCGGAGAGGAAAGCGGGUCCCGGCCCAGCGUUGGGAGACGCGUGUGCCCCGCGCCCCGGAGGUGCAGGUGACUGGCUGCAGAGAAAGGCCUCGUCCUGGUGCCUCGUCCAUGCUACUCCAUGGCACCUCAGAGGUAGAAGAUGAGCUCAGGGAAUCUGCCUAACCCGGACCCUGGUCCCAUUGGUGCCGACUGAGAAGCACUGAACUGGAAGGUCGCCGUCCCAUGCUGCACUGUCAUGUCUUCCUGCCCAAUGUAGCUGAGCUCACUGCCAUCCAGAACGGCCCUGGCUGUGUAGAAGGUGUCCUGCUCUACCUGCACAGGGUGUUCAAACCAGACCACGAGGGGGUUGCUGGAACCAUCUGAGACAAAUGUGGUGAAAUGACUCCCUUUGCAACUGGUGAUCCUCUCUGCUCAAAAAAGAAAGAAUAUUUACUAUGUCUGUUAUUAAUGCAGCCACUCUAACUUUUUAAAAUCCAUGCUAGGGUAGUAUAUUUUCACCGAUCCUUUAACUUUUAACCUAGCUGUGUCUUUACAUUUGACACUUGUGUUUUUUUAAUCCAGUCUAACAAUAGCUAUUUUUUUUAAUUGGGUUAUUUAGACCAUUUAUGUUUAAUGUGCUUAUUGCUACAGUUGGGUUUAAAUUUACCAUCUUGUUUUUGGUUUCUAUUUUCUCCUCUGUUCUUCAUUCUCCUCUAUUGUCUUUAUUUGCCUCCAUUUGGGUUGAAUAUUUUUAAUGAAUCCAUUUUAACUUUCUCGUGGACUCAUUAACUUAAUAACUUUGAAUUAUUUUAGUGAUUUUAGUUGCCUUAGGGUUUAUAGUGAUAAGCUAGAGGUGUCACACUGCCCAUAUUGGAUGCCGGACUUUAUUUAGUGUAUAAAAACUUCUCAACAAUGUCCUUACAUUUCUCCCAUCCUGGACUUUGUGCUGUUUAUAUCUUACAUUUUAUUUCUACAUAUGUAAUAACCUAACAAUACAUUGCUACCAUUUUUGCUUUAAAUAGCCAAUUAUCUUAUAAAUAGAUUUAGAAAUAAGAAAAAAAGAUCUUUUAUGCUAACUCUUAUGAAACUGGUGCUCCUGUUUCCUUUGUGUAGAUCCAUGUGGUAUCAUUAUCCUUCUGCCUGAAGGACUGCUGGUGAUAAAUG